UGGAUCACCUCCUAACAGGGAGACAACAAAAUGUUUAAUAUUAUUAUUUUGUCACCUUAGGUCGAUCGGUAUCUCACGUUCUUAAUUUAUUAAGAAUUUCAAUUCCUAAGUUUUUCUAGGUCACACCCAUUAUUUUUUCCUGGGCCAUUAGCUCAGGUGGUUAGAGCGCACCCCUGAUAAGGGUGAGGUCCCUGGUUCAAGUCCAGGAUGGCCCAUAUCUCUAUGUUGGGGGUAUAGCUCAGUUGGUAGAGCGCCUGCUUUGCAAGCAGGAUGUCAGCGGUUCGAGUCCGCUUACCUCCACUGAUUACCACCUCUUCCAUAAUCUGGAGAAAGGAAAUGUUUUGAGUUGUGAUCAAAUUCUGAACGAAUCUAGCUUCCUAAUAAAAUUAUUAAGAUGCUGGACUCAUUGAAUUAAAUUUCAUUGUUUUCAGAGAACCUUGACAACUGCAUAGAUUUUUUUUAAAGACAAUAAGCAUCUUUAAUGAUGCAGAUUUAUUAUUUGUGCGAAUGCAUUUAUAACAAUUCUAUUAAGCUGAUGCUUCAAUUUUGAAGUUAUUGGUCAAGCUACAAAGGGCUCAUGGAGGAUACCUAGGCACACAGAGGCGAUGAAGG
RNAcentral lists this transfer RNA (612 nucleotides) under uncultured Prochlorococcus sp. RNAcentral's name for it is "partial contains 16S ribosomal RNA, 16S-23S ribosomal RNA intergenic spacer, and 23S ribosomal RNA". The stretch from base 228 to 300 matches the Rfam family "tRNA". Lineage: Bacteria; Bacillati; Cyanobacteriota; Cyanophyceae; Synechococcales; Prochlorococcaceae. The record is from RNAcentral.